AUUGGAAUUACUUUGGGAGUCAAAAGUUGCAAUCCGUGAUUAUGGAGGCAAAAUCAGUUCCACCGAACUACGAGUAUGUUUGGUUUCACGUUUGAAAAACCUAUAAUUGAUUUUGAUAUGUUUCGUUGCUAUUGAGUAGAAUUUAUUAUGUUUUUAGAAUUGAUUCUUGAAGCUAUGAUUUGUAGCUUGAGUUGAGUCUAAACUUGAUUUUUACACUUUCACUUUUGCAUAAAUUUAUUCAAACAUCAGUCACUUACCUUUUUAACUCACUUUUAACCAAAAUCAAUUUUACACUAUCAAUUCAAUUAAAAUCAAUUUUUUCUACCAAUCGUUUGUUGGUCCGGUGGUGAUUGACACUGGACUUGGUUGAGAGGACUACGGUUUGAUCUCCUGCAACUGCUAUUAGGAGGGGCCUGGAAACCACUUGACGCCAAAACUGAACUCGGACCGGAUUAGUCGGUCUAAUGAACCGGAUACUGGUGUUUGAAAACCCCCCAAAAAAUAAAAAUCAAUUAAUCCAUACACUUGAGAAUAUAAGUUAAAGUUCUACAGUUUAUUUUGUUCUACUUUUAAUGUUCACUUCAAACUGCUAGUUCCUAUAUAAGUUAUUUUCUUGUUUCCUCCUAUUUAGAGUCGCGGAAGUUUUCUCUUCAUCGGACUAGAGCUUCUUCUUCUGAUGAUACAUCUACUUCUCUCGAUACCAAUGAGUUGUUUACCGAUUUGAAGGAGAAGGCAAGAAGCUUAUAUAAUUUGUUGAAUUCAAUAAUUUUAGUUUCAUGUUGAUUUAUCUUCUGUCAAAUCCAUAAUGUUUCAUUUUCUAUUCUAAAUAAGAAACACAAACUGACAUGACACUAGCACAUUGGAGUCAUGACGAUACCAGAUACACCUUUAAUUUGGAGUGUUGGUGCUAACCCUAUUGUCUUUUAUAGUUUUACUAACAAAGUAGAAAUUAUAUCUUCCUGCAUUUUGCAUUAUCAGUGGGAUGGUCUUGAAAACAAGUCCACAGUGCUUCUGUAUGGUGGUGGUGGUUUGGUUGCUGUUUGGUUAUCUUCAAUUCUUGUAGGUGCCAUCAACUCAGUCCCCUUGGUAAGCCAGAAUUCACUUCUUUUACAUUGAGUACUAUCGAAUGCAAUGCUUCGGUUUUCUGCUCUAUAAGGCAUUUUGAAGUUCGAACCAAUAUAAAACAACUUUAUUUAUUUUUCAGCUUCCAAAGAUUAUGGAGUUGGUAGGACUAGGGUACACUGGAUGGUUUGUCUACCGGUACCUUCUGUUUAAGGUAUGCCAAAUGCAUAAUUCAUUCAUCAAUAUGUUGUUUUCUGAAAAUGAGAAAUUGAAGAAAUUCAAAAGUGGCAUGAUUAUCGAUGAAGUCAACUCCUAAAAUACAAAUCGCCAUUUAGUAUGUAUAUUGCUUAGGUUCCAAACACAAAUUUCUCGCAUUUUAUGACAGACCAUAUUAGAAUGUCUGUGUACUUUCUUGCAUCGGAUAUCCUCUUUCUGUAAUCAGAAUCCGAUUCAUUGUUCUAUUUAUAAUCGCGCAUGUAUUAGUCAGUAGAUUUCUCAUAUGUGAUAUAACUGUUUUUGUAUACAGUCUAGUAGAAAGGAACUAGCUACGGAUAUUGAGGCACUGAAAAAGAAAAUUGCCGGAACCGAAUAGAGCUGUAUUAGUAGCAAGUCAUGUUGAUCUUCCUUGCUCAUCAUUUGUUUGUUUUGCUGUAUGUCUUGUUAUAUGAGAGGCAUUUGUAUCUCUUGAUAUAGAAUAGAAUUGCUCAAUCUCUAUCAGUAUCAACCUUGUAUUAAUCCAUUUCAUUGUUGAAAAUAAUGCAGCAAAUCUUAUAUAUAUGUUUAUGAUUCUGAAUGAAAAUCAUUCAUAUUUUUACUUGGCAUAGGGUAAAUUACAUAUUGGUUCUUGGUAUAAAAUAUCAUAUGAUGAUCUUGUAAAUAUUUUUUAACCAUGAGAUUUUACUUUUAAAAAACAUUUAUUUUAAUCAUUUGCAUUUAUUUUUCAUUACCAUUACUUUUUCAAAAUUAAGUUAUUGAUAUUUACCAACAUGAUACAAUCUUAAUAUCAUAUAUUAAAUUUAAUAAUUUUUUCAAAAUGUAAUUUGGAUGAUUUGAUAGAUUGAUGAUUUUUUCAUUUGAAAAUCAUGUAAAAUUUCUUUAUACUAACGCAUUUAUGUAUUUUAAACUCAUAUUAUUACUUUUUUGAAAUUUGAUAUCUCACCCUAAUCUUGGGAGUACAUUAUAUUAUUAGAUCUCAAACAUUGACGUAGUUCAAUUUAUUAGUAACAAACUAGAUAAAGAGACAAGAAACAAUGAUGUUGAAAUGAAUCAACCUAUUGGUUGAAGAUCACAGUGUUGUUGAAAUGGAAAGGGAGGAUCAAAAUAUGAUCCAUUAAGAAUAGCAUGUGUUAUAAGCUUGUUUGCAGCUUCUGUGGUGUGUAUCCCAUCCCAACUCACAUACUUGUAAGGGUCAUCACAUGCUGUCGCUGUCACUUUUUUCCCAUCGAUCUCUUUACUCUCUCCACAAUAAACUUUAGGAUUGAAGUUGUACUCACCACCUCCAUAUCCACAACAUGCUUUUGUACCAUACUCAAGUCCUGUUUCAAAUAAUCCAAAAACAUAAAAAUCACACACAAAGACAAAUCACGGGCAUCAACAAUAUGUGUCUGAUGUCGGACAUUGACACAUACGUAUUAGAUUAGACACGUUACAUGUCUAAUAUCAUAAGUGUCAGUGAUAUGUAUCAUAAAAAACUAUAACAAGGUUGAUGAGUGUUUGUACCAUGAGAAGAAGGAUGUUGGAAGAGCUCUAACAGAACAGUGUAGGUAUCCACAUAAAUGACAGAAGCAUCUGAUAAAUUUUCAUAUAACAAGGUUGAUGAGUGUUUGUACCAUGAGAAGAAGGAUGUUGGAAGAGCUCUAACAGAACAGUGUAGGUAUCCACAUAAAUGACAGAAGCAUCUGAUAAAUUUUCUCUAGUUUGUUUCAGUGAUUCUUUCAACAUGUUGUUAUAGUUCACAACGGCAUUGUUGUAAGAAACCUUGCAUCCAAAUUCGUCCCGUUCUGUACUAUUAUGAGGAAGCCCUACCAAGAAUGCAGGGUAGCACCCUACUGGUGCAAGAUUAAGCACCAUAAAUGUUCUCCCACCAAGAUUAUACAGCUCCUACAAAUUUCAUUGAGAAAAAUCCAUGUUAAUAAUCAUUUUCUGAUUUACCAUAACAGAAGAACACAACACACUAUGUUUGGUGUCGAGUCUCUUGAUAAACUAAUAAUAGACAUAAAUUACUCUUACUUUAAUGGCUGCAACAAUUUGUGAAACAACUUGAGGGAGAAACUCUUCCAUUCCACCCUUGCCGAUGUCUGCUAACUUGGAAGUAAAAUCAUUUUGGCCAAUAUAAAAUGUAUAUAGAGAUUUUCCAAAUACAUCCGGUGAAGGAAGAUUCAUAUCUGAUCGACAAUGAAAAAAUCGGCGCAUUACAACAGAAUCAUAUGCAAUUUUCUUACAUCAUUUCAAAAGUAUUGGAGACAGUUAUACUAUCCGUUUUGAACCUUUUUGAUCAGCUUCUGUAACUUUGGCAACGAAUUGCUUCAUCUGGUUGAGCUGAAUAGCAAGGGAGAAAGGGCUGAUUCCGGAGACAAACACAGAAGUAUUAGAUUCUCGCAUUUUAUGACAGACCAUACUAGAAUGUCUAUGUGUACUUUCUUGCAUCGGAUAUCCUCUUUCUGCAAUCAGAAUUCGAUUCGUUGUUUUAUUUAUAUUUGCUCAUGUCUUAAACAGUAUAUUUCUCAUAUAUGUUGAUCUUCCUUGCUCAUCAUUUGUUUGUUUUGCUGUAUGUCUUGUUAUAUGAGAGACAUUUGUAUCUCUUGAUAUAGAAUAGAAUUGCUCAAUCUCUAUCAGUAUCAACCUUGUAUUAAUCCAUUUCAUUGUUGAAAAUAGU
RNAcentral lists this long non-coding RNA (3937 nucleotides) under Lathyrus oleraceus (garden pea). RNAcentral's name for it is "Pisum sativum (pea) long non-coding RNA (PSAT_LNC038001)". Lineage: Eukaryota; Viridiplantae; Streptophyta; Magnoliopsida; Fabales; Fabaceae. The record is from RNAcentral.